Molecule: ribosomal RNA, 403 nt
Rfam family: Bacterial small subunit ribosomal RNA
UGGGGAAUAUUGGGCAAUGGGGGAAACCCUGACCCAGCAACGCCGCGUGAAGGAAGAAGGCUUUCGGGUUGUAAACUUCUUUGACCGGGGACGAAAUUUGACGGUACCCGGAAAACAAGCUCCGGCUAACUACGUGCCAGCAGCCGCGGUAAUACGUAGGGAGCAAGCGUUGUCCGGAUUUACUGGGUGUAAAGGGCGCGUAGGCGGAUAUGCAAGUCAGAUGUGAAAUCUGAGGGCUCAACCCUCAAACUGCAUUUGAAACUGUGUAUCUUGAGUGAUGGAGAGGCAGGCGGAAUUCCUAGUGUAGCGGUGAAAUGCGUAGAUAUUAGGAGGAACACCAGUGGCGAAGGCGGCCUGCUGGACAUUAACUGACGCUGAGGCGCGAAAGCGUGGGGAGCAAACA